Molecule: ribosomal RNA, 301 nt
Filed under: uncultured bacterium
Lineage: Bacteria
Description: partial 16S ribosomal RNA
Rfam family: Bacterial small subunit ribosomal RNA
Source: RNAcentral
CAGUCGCCGCGGUAACACGGAGGGGGCUAGCGUUGUUCGGAAUUACUGGGCGUAAAGCGCACGUAGGCGGCUUGGUAAGUUAGAGGUGAAAGCCCGGAGCUCAACUCCGGAAUUGCCUUUAAGACUGCCGAGCUAGUAGGUGAGAGAGGUAAGUGGAAUUCCGAGUGUAGAGGUGAAAUUCGUAGAUAUUCGGAAGAACACCAGUGGCGAAGGCGGCUUACUGGCUCAUUCUAGACGCUGAGGUGCGAAAGCGUGGGGAGCAAACAGGAUUAGAUACCCCGGUAGUCCCUGUCUCUUAUAC